This is a long non-coding RNA of Sphaeramia orbicularis (orbiculate cardinalfish), 164 nucleotides long. RefSeq lists it as uncharacterized. The transcript has 3 exons. Lineage: Eukaryota; Metazoa; Chordata; Actinopteri; Kurtiformes; Apogonidae. The record is from RefSeq and is a predicted model, not a curated record.
UGAAUUGAGUAGAAUUAACUCUGGCGCAAAAAUUCACACUGUCCAUAGAGUAAAUUAUACUCUAAUUUUGAGUGGGACCAAAUGUUAUCUGAAAGAGAGUUAAAUUCAACUUUCUAAAAGUUAAAUUGACAUUGUUUUUAACUGUGUACAUUUAUACAAUAUUU